GAUGAACGCUGGCGGCGUGCCUAAUACAUGCAAGUCGAGCGAACAGACGAGGAGCUUGCUCCUCUGACGUUAGCGGCGGACGGGUGAGUAACACGUGGAUAACCUACCUAUAAGACUGGGAUAACUUCGGGAAACCGGAGCUAAUACCGGAUAAUAUAUUGAACCGCAUGGUUCAAUAGUGAAAGACGGCUUUGCUGUCACUUAUAGAUGGAUCCGCGCCGCAUUAGCUAGUUGGUAAGGUAACGGCUUACCAAGGCAACGAUGCGUAACCGAGCUGAGAGGGUGAUCGGCCACACUGGAACUGAGACACGGUCCAGACUCCUACGGGAGGCAGCAGUAGGGAAUCUUCCGCAAUGGGCGAAAGCCUGACGGAGCAACGCCGCGUGAGUGAUGAAGGUCUUCGGAUCGUAAAACUCUGUUAUUAGGGAAGAACAAAUGUGUAAGUAACUAUGCACGUCUUGACGGUACCUAAUCAGAAAGCCACGGCUAACUACGUG
RNAcentral lists this ribosomal RNA (497 nucleotides) under uncultured bacterium. Its description in RNAcentral is "partial 16S ribosomal RNA". It matches the Rfam family "Bacterial small subunit ribosomal RNA", at positions 28 to 507 of the family's 1533-position model. The record is from RNAcentral.